GCUAUUCUGGGUAAUAUAACAAUCUACUUAGCUAGUUUAGUAAGAACAUGUUAUUAGCAUACUCAUAAUUCAAGAGAAAUGUCUUGCACUUUAUGCAAUUUGGGCUACUCCAGUUAAGGUAACAAUCUGCUUAUCUAGAUUAGUAAGAAAUCUUAUUGUCAUAUUGAUUGAUUAUUUUGAAUUCUCAGGCAUAUUGAAGUCUAUAACUUAUUAAUUUGUUAAAAGCCUUGCAUUGAUCUUCACUAAUAUUUGGAGCCGCUUUUUAUUGGGUUCAAUUAGGAGAAAAGCUCCAACAACUCGAGCGAGAGAAGGGAAUUGUCGUUUGGUUCAUGAUUGGCCACAAGUGGAUGUUGCAUGUGGGAGGGUUGGAGCUGCAUAUUUCAGAUUCAAGCAUCUGGAUGAUGGAAUAUACGAAGCUGUUGAAAUUUCAGGGUGAAGUCAAGCACAUUUCUCUAAUGAAGCCAAAGAUUUGUAUUUUCAGCAUUAUUGUAAUUGUAACUAUAAUUGAUUG
Molecule: long non-coding RNA, 511 nt
Organism: Magnolia sinica
Lineage: Eukaryota; Viridiplantae; Streptophyta; Magnoliopsida; Magnoliales; Magnoliaceae
Exons: 3
Source: RefSeq, a predicted model, not a curated record